AGUCCGGGGGCUCUAGGUGCCUCCGGUUUCCGUCGUCGGUGCGGCCGGUUACCGCGCGCCGCAAGGCGCGUCCCUCGGGACGCUGCGCUGCAACGGCCUGUGGGCUCCCCACCCGACCCGUCUUGAAACACGGACCAAGGAGUCUGACAUGCGUGCGAGUCGACGGGUUCUGAAACCUGGGAUGCGCAAGGAAGCUGACGAGCGG
This 205-nucleotide ribosomal RNA is filed under the name Tribolium pusillum. RNAcentral's name for it is "partial 26S ribosomal RNA". The record is from RNAcentral. Lineage: Eukaryota; Viridiplantae; Streptophyta; Magnoliopsida; Poales; Poaceae.